This 72-nucleotide transfer RNA is filed under the name Cordylochernes scorpioides. RNAcentral's name for it is "tRNA-Gly". The record is from RNAcentral. Lineage: Eukaryota; Metazoa; Arthropoda; Arachnida; Pseudoscorpiones; Chernetidae.
UGCAUCGGCCAGGAAUCGAACCCGGGGCGGCGCCCGCGUGGCAGGCGAGCAUUCUACCACUGAACCAAAAGC